ACUCAAAGGAAUUGACGGGGGCCCGCACAAGCAGCGGAGUGUGUGGUUUAAUUCGAUGCAACGCGCAGAACCUUACCUGGGUUUGACAUCUGGGUGCACCACGCGUAACGGCGUGUCCCUUCGGGGCGCCCAGACAGGUGCUGCAUGGCUGUCGUCAGCUCGUGCCGUGAGGUGUUGGGUUAAGUCCCCUAACGAGCGCAACCCCUGGGGUCCGUUGUACUUUUCGGACCCGACUGCCGCGCGCAACGCGGAGGAAGGUGGGGCUGAAGUCAAGUCAGCACGGCCCUUACGUCCAGGGCGACACACACACUACAAUGGCCGGUACAAUGGGUUGCCAAGCCGCGAGGCGGAGCCAAUCCCCUAAAGCCGGUCUCAGUUCGGAUCGCAGGCUGCAACUCGCCUGCGUGAAGCCGGAGUUGCUAGUAACCGUGGGUCAGCAUACCACGGUGAAUACGUUCCCGGGCCUUGUACACACCGCCCGU
This 482-nucleotide ribosomal RNA is filed under the name uncultured bacterium. RNAcentral describes it as "partial 16S ribosomal RNA". It matches the Rfam family "Bacterial small subunit ribosomal RNA", at positions 899 to 1397 of the family's 1533-position model. The record is from RNAcentral.